UUGAAACACUGGUUCUCGUAUGAUCACCAGGUAAGCAACAUCAAGCCUGGUCAGUACCUAGAUGGGUGACCGCUUGGGAAUACCAAGUAUUGUAA
Non-coding RNA from Acanthosepion pharaonis, 95 nucleotides. NCBI's taxonomy places the organism in Eukaryota, Metazoa, Mollusca, Cephalopoda, Sepiida, Sepiidae. The record is from the annotation of a GenBank genome assembly.